UUCAUUACUUUCAAACUAUGUGUUUCCUUAGAGCUGGUUCCUCUCUGUUUUGGGUACUUUUUCUUUGGAAACUGAAUAUAUAUAUAUAUAUAUAUAUAUGUCUUCACAUUUAAAAUAAUGAAAGUUUUUAAUAAUGUUAAUUCAACUUUGCAUGUAGCUUUAGUUUUGUGUGGUUUUUAACACUCAUAAAAAUCACUUUUAUUUUAUCUGACAUGUUAGUGUGUAUUUUUUCUUUGAUUAAGUAAUUUUAAAAUUUUAAAGCUAAGUUGAGGGAUAGUAUUUUAUUAUUAAUUUCUAGUAAGUGUGGACAGUGAAUUUGGUCCACACUAACCCAAAGAUUUAUUGGUACUGGAUUUUUUUUCACCUUUGGCUGAGUAUUAGGUCAAUUUUUAAAUUUUUUAUUAAAAGAAGGUAAAAAUCUGUUUAUAGGACUUAAAUAUUAAGUUAACCUUAAAAAUUCAUUCCAGUAUACAUUAGGUACAGACAAAUACUGUUUGAGUCCAUUUAUAUGACGUACCUAGAAUAGUCAAAUUCACAGAGUCAGAAAGUACAGUUAGAUGCCAGGAGCCGAGGGUAGGGAAAUGGGGAGUUAAUGCUUAAUGGGGACAGUUUCAGCUUAAGAAGGUGAAAAAGUCAGGAGCUGGAUGGUGGUGAGAGCUGCACAACAAUGUGAAUGUUUGGUGCCACUGAGCUGUACAGUUAAGUAUGUUUAAAAUAGCAUAUUUUACGUUAUGUGUCUUUUACCACAAAAAAAAUUUUUUUUAGUCCUGUAAUUCAGUUAUCCUCAUUUGUAGGUGAUGAAAUGAGGUUCUGAGGUCAUAGCACUGAUCAGUGGUAGAGGCAGGAUUUACACGGAAUGAUGUGGAUUCUAAGCUUCCUACAUUCCCCCUUGUUACUCCCCUCCUGGUGGAAGAGCUUCAAAGAGUUGCUCCCCACCCCCUAUAUUCCCCAAAUUAGGGAACAAGAUGUGCCAGCUUCCCAGAUACCUCCAGUCCCCGAGGGGAGAUUUGUGUAUUUCUUAUGUCUUCUCAGCCACCAGGACAACCACCUGGAGCCCCACCAUCACAGCUGACCUCUGGGUCCCGGAGGACAAAAGAAGUCCAGAGUCUUGGCCCCUGAGUACAGAAGCUAUAAUUGGAUUGGCACUGGCCACUGCUGUGCUCAAAAUCGCAAUUUUGGGACUGACUGUGUACCUCAGGUGGACAAGAAGCAAAGGUCUGCAGACUAAGGCCAGAACCCCAGCCAGACCUCAUGGCCUUGCAGCUUCCAGCUCUAGUGCUGGGAACGCUUCUGCUACCGUGUGAACAAGCCCCAGCUAGCCUAUUGGAGACGGACAGACGUGUGGACAGAGGCCCCAGUCAUCCCACCAAUUCCACCUGAGGCACCGGAUGCGUGAGAGAGGCCAUUCCAGACCGUUCAGCUCCAGCCAAGGCAGUUCAAAUGAAUCAGAAAAUUCUAAGAAAUAAUGUCUGUGGUUUCAAGCCACUAGAUUUUGAGGUGGUUUGUUAUACAAUAAAAGCUAAUUGAU
Non-coding RNA from Vicugna pacos (alpaca), 1528 nucleotides. Lineage: Eukaryota; Metazoa; Chordata; Mammalia; Artiodactyla; Camelidae. The record is from RefSeq and is a predicted model, not a curated record.